RNAcentral lists this ribosomal RNA (431 nucleotides) under Hylophorbus sp. LAO-2013b. RNAcentral's name for it is "partial 16S ribosomal RNA". The record is from RNAcentral. Lineage: Eukaryota; Metazoa; Chordata; Amphibia; Anura; Microhylidae.
UUUUAACUCUUUAUAUAACAUAAAAUACACUUACAGAUUUAAAAUUCAUUCAAAUAAGGUACAGCCUAUUUGAAACAGGAUACAACCUCUCACAGAGGGUAAUGCUUAUCAUAAACGUGAUUAAGUGGGCCUAAAAGCAGCCACCUUUUAAAAAGCGUUAAAGCCUAGUCACACUAAAUUAUAAAUACCCAUCUAAGCCCAAAACCCCUUAACCCCUACUGAAUGACUUCAUACCUUUAUGAAAAUCCUUAUGUUAGAACCAGUAACAAGAAUAAUUAUUCUCCUACAAAUGUAAGUGUAAGCCGAAAUGGAACCCCCAUCGACACUCACCGCCAAUGAGCUAAUAGUAAUAACCCCCCCAAGAAAAUCUUACUCCUCCCAGCGUUAACCUUACACAAGAACUUUUCUGGAAAGAUUAAAAAAAGAGGAAG